UCGCUGCGACUGCGGAAGACAUUAAUGAACAAAUUCAGGAACCGAGGGCCUCUGUGAAGCCUGUGGUCGCGAAUUUCAUUACCAUCCCUUCUGUGCACAUUCCAUGUUGCUUCCGUGUGUCUGCAGUCCCUUACACUGGGAUGCCUGAAAAGCCUCACUCAUCCUGAGGGCGCACGGGAAUGAACACCAUGCUCUGGUUUCUGUAUUUAUAGUCGGAGUGGUUACCACGUCAUAACAAAUUAAAACUUUCAACAACGGAUCUCUUGGUUCUCGCAUCGAUGAAGAACGCAGCGAAAUGCGAUAAGUAGUGUGAAUUGCAGAAUUCAGUGAAUCAUCGAAUCUUUGAACGCACAUUGCGCCUCCUGGUAUUCCGGGAGGCAUGCCUGUUCGAGCGUCAUUAAAAGCAUCCUCAAGCAUUGUUGCUUGGUCAUGGAGGAAGAUAGUUACUGUCCCCUCUGGAAUCUCUCAGUAGACAACUCCCAAGGAGCGUAGGCGUAAUAUAAUUGAUAUUCGUUUAAUGCCUUGUGGGUUGCCAGGCUGCGUAGAGCUCCCCCCAGCAAGUACUUGGUACUUCAAAGCUUGACCUCGGAUCAGGUAGGGAUACCCGCUGAACUUAAGCAUUU
This 623-nucleotide ribosomal RNA is filed under the name Pseudoplectania sp. HD-2014. RNAcentral describes it as "eukaryotic LSU rRNA". The stretch from base 244 to 397 matches the Rfam family "5.8S ribosomal RNA". The record is from RNAcentral. Lineage: Eukaryota; Fungi; Ascomycota; Pezizomycetes; Pezizales; Sarcosomataceae.